UACGGAGGGGGCGAGCGUUAUUCGGAAUUAUUGGGCGUAAAGGGCGCGUAGGUGGCCCUGUAAGUCAAAGGUGAAAUCCCUCGGCUCAACCGAGGAAUUGCCUUUGAAACUGCAGGGCUUGAGGCCGGGAGGGGGUAGCGGAAUUCCCAGUGUAGCGGUGAAAUGCGUAGAUACUGGGAGGAACACCGGUGGCGAAGGCGGCUACCUGGACCGGUUCUGACACUGAUGCGCGAAAGCGUGGGUAGCAAAC
RNAcentral lists this ribosomal RNA (250 nucleotides) under uncultured bacterium. RNAcentral's name for it is "partial 16S ribosomal RNA". It matches the Rfam family "Bacterial small subunit ribosomal RNA", at positions 524 to 773 of the family's 1533-position model. The record is from RNAcentral.